Long non-coding RNA from Patella vulgata (common limpet), 1166 nucleotides. RefSeq lists it as uncharacterized. The transcript has 8 exons. Lineage: Eukaryota; Metazoa; Mollusca; Gastropoda; Patellidae. The record is from RefSeq and is a predicted model, not a curated record.
UUUACGAGCACGCCAAAGUACACACGGGGCCUUGUUUUUUCAUAUCAUCCGAAUGACUAGACAGCUGGAAGGGGAAAGCACGUCGGAAAAUUCCGAUGAACUUUCUCGGCCAAUGCAGGGAUCAAACACGCGAAUUACAUGAACGGGAAUAACCGAUUAAAAUACUUUUAACCGAGCGUUUCUUUUACAGUUAAAAAGUAAAAUAGGGUUACCUUAUCACCCGAUUAAACAACCCGGAUACUCGAGCAAAUGACCUCUCUCUUCUCCCAAACCCGUCUGGAUGAUACGUUGGUUCUUCUUACUUCACACAGCACAUUUACACAAACAGAAGUUGGAGCAUGGAUCAGAUUAUUGAACUUAUAAUAUGGCUGGUUUGUAUUCUGAUAAUUAAUAUCCAAGGACAUGAAGCCAAUCCUUGUUCAGCGGAUCAAUAUUAUAACAGUGGAUUACGGGAAUGUUUUUAUUGUACUGAGCUUUGUUACAAAGCUGAAGCCAGAAAUCAAGUAUCAGAAUGUCAGGACAAGUGUCCAGGUUAUGUUGAGUCAUCAUCACCAUCAACAACUACGAGUAUAACCAGAUCAAAUGACACAGCCACCAAAUUAUCUCCUGACACCAGCCAUAUAUGGAUUAGAAUAGGACUGAUAAUAUCUGGAGCUGUUAUCUUUGUUGCUGUGAUUAUAAUACUACUGAUAUACUGGUGGAUCAAACGAUCACGUGACGGUGGUAAAGGACAACACGAAUUAUUAAAACAACGAAAUCCAGACCAAUUAGAUCAAGAAAAUCCAAAUAUACCGGGCUGCCCUCAACAAAACUGCCAGUCAAACAGACAACACGAAUUAUUAGAACAACGAAAUCUAGACCAAUUAGAUCAAGAAAAUUCAAAUAUACCGGGCUGCCCUCAACAAAACUGCCAGUCAAACAGUGGUAUUCAAGACACUCAACCACCGUCAAGUUCUAGAUUACUUAUAUCGUCGACUAGAGUUUGAUGAAGAAAACAGCAGCAUAAAGCAUUUUCGGAAAUAUUUUUUUUUUGAUAUUAAAUUACUUAUAGAAAUUUAUUUUUAUUUUGACUUUUAACUAGUUUAUUUAUGUUCUGCUUUAGUCUGAUAAAUUAAAGUUGUUUUUACAUAUUAUAUAUAUUGCCUCGAUAUAUUGUUAUAUCUAUA